Long non-coding RNA from Lagopus muta (rock ptarmigan), 1155 nucleotides. RefSeq lists it as uncharacterized. NCBI's taxonomy places the organism in Eukaryota, Metazoa, Chordata, Aves, Galliformes, Phasianidae. The transcript is spliced from 4 exons. The record is from RefSeq and is a predicted model, not a curated record.
CCAGGAUCCACGCCUUCCCAGCCCUCCUUUAAGGGUUGGCAGUGGAGGUGCUGGUCUCACACUGGAGAUCUCUGCAUACCUGAGGCCUUGCAAAGCACCAGUUGUAAUAAGCCAGUUUCUCCUAAAACCAUACAAACCAUCAGUGAAACUUGCCUGCUUGCUGUGCUUGAAUUGGAGAUCCGGAAACGCACCUGCUCAAUGGCACUUCUUACAAGUGGGUCACUAGGACUCACUGAAGGAUGAACAACAAACUCUACCUGUUUAAAGAAGAAAACAAGGGAGGCCACAAGGGGCCACAUCAGCUUAUCCAGAAAGCACCGUCUGAAGAAAGAAGAGUCACAGAGAUGCUCAAGUUCUGCCAGAAACCUGAGGGGACCUCUCUGGCCCCAGAGCAGAUUUAGUAUUGCUCCAGGAACAUGCAAAGAGAACUUCUUAGUAAAUGACAAGAUCUUAGCAAACAAUUCUCUGCUGAAGGAAGAUGGCAAUUAUCCUCCCUUUGUGGAAAGGAGUGGGUGUUUGCAUGCAGGAAUUUGUUCAUCUGUAAGUCAUAGCCCUGAUGAAAUGAGAAAAUAUUGAAAUAUUUGGCAAUAAGGAGUUUAAUUACCACAAUCUCUAUAUAUAGAGGAAGGGUAUAUUUUGUUCAGAUUUUUUUAACAGAAUUAAUGCUGUUUUAAUAUGUAAGUAGACUGAUGAUUUUAAAUGUAUAGAGGAUCUCUGACAAAAUCCUACAGUACAGACCAGGAAAGCAGCCAAUCUUGCAAAACAGAAGUUGCCUCAUAGUCAGAAAUGAACCAAAAUGGCUAUUUAGAGUGAGACAUUUAUGCUCGCCUCCAAAACAUAUUCCAGAAAAUACAGGUUCCCAAAUACCAGUAGGUUACCAGGGAUUACAGUAAGUGUGCUUUAGUGGUCGAGGCCCAUUUGUCUGCCUUGCCACUUUUUGGAGGCUAAAUCUGCCCCAUGGUGCUGGGAACUUUGGAGUACUGUGAAGCUGCAUCUGGUACAAUCCCAUCCAUUAGUGUAGAUCACCAGAACGUGCUCUCAGUAUAGACAGCAAGCAGGAUGCUUGCAGGAUGCUUAUGUAUGUUGGUGGCCCUGCUAGGCAGGGGGGUUGGAACUACAUGAUCCUUGGGGUCCCUUCCAACCCGGGUGAUUCUG